RNAcentral lists this ribosomal RNA (254 nucleotides) under uncultured bacterium. RNAcentral describes it as "partial 16S ribosomal RNA". It matches the Rfam family "Bacterial small subunit ribosomal RNA", at positions 15 to 252 of the family's 1533-position model. The record is from RNAcentral.
GAUCAUGGCUCAGGAUGAACGCUGGCGGCGUGCUUAACACAUGCAAGUCGAACGGGAAUUACUUUAUUGAAACUUCGGUCGAUUUAAUUUAAUUCUAGUGGCGGACGGGUGAGUAACGCGUGGGUAACCUGCCUUGUACAGGGGGAUAACAGUCAGAAAUGACUGCUAAUACCGCAUAAGCGCACAGGACCGCAUGGUUCGGUGUGAAAAACUCCGGUGGUAUAAGAUGGACCCGCGUUGGAUUAGCUAGUUGG